CCUACGGGUGGCUGCAGUGAGGAAUAUUGGUCAAUGGACGAGAGUCUGAACCAGCCAAGUAGCGUGAAUGAUGACUGCCCUCUGGGUUGUAAACUUCUUUUAUAUGGGAAUAAAAUGUUCCACGACUAGGAUUUUGUAUGUACCAUAUCAAUAAGGAUCGGCUAACUCCGUGCCAGCAGCCGCGGUAAUACGGAGGAUCCGAGCGUUAUCCGGAUUGACUGGGUUUAAAGGGAGCGUAGGUGGAGUGUUAAGUCAGUUGUGAAGGUUUGCGGCUCAACCGUACAAUUGCAGUUGAUACUGGCAGUCUUGAGUACAGUAGAGGUGGGCGGAAUUCGUGGUGUAGCGGUGAAAUGCUUAGAUAUCACGAAGAACUCCGAUUGCGAAGGCAGUUCACUGGACUGGAACUGACACUGAGGCUCGAAAGUGUGGGUAUCAAACAGGAUUAGAUACCCGUGUAGUC
This 460-nucleotide ribosomal RNA is filed under the name uncultured bacterium. Its description in RNAcentral is "partial 16S ribosomal RNA". It matches the Rfam family "Bacterial small subunit ribosomal RNA", at positions 338 to 795 of the family's 1533-position model. The record is from RNAcentral.